CCAUGUGUCCGGCUCGGCUUGCACAGAGCCCAACACCCUGUUCUGAGCAGCAGGGGCAACCAACUUGUGAUUGAAAUAUGAGCCGUGGUUGACUGGAAUUCCUGUUUUAUCUGCACACUCUUUGUUCCUGUGUCCUGCCUGCCAUCUGCAACCACAGCUGCCAAAGCUUACACCACAUGGUAUAACCACUUGGAGACUAGUGGUCUCUUCCCUGAUCGUAGGCUAGUUCAGUGAUACUCAGACUGAGGCUCCCGAGAUGCAAGUGGCUCUUUAAUGUGUCUCCUGCGGCUGUUUGCAGCACAUGAUAGUAAAACACUGUGUGAUUUAAUUAUUAACCAAUCAGGAUGCUUUUACUAUGCUAUUAACCAAUUGUA
Molecule: long non-coding RNA, 374 nt
Organism: Malaclemys terrapin pileata
Lineage: Eukaryota; Metazoa; Chordata; Testudines; Emydidae
Exons: 3
Source: RefSeq, a predicted model, not a curated record